AAGACUAUAGACCUGCGGAGUACCUGCGGAAGGAUCAUUAUUGAAUUAUGUUUCUAAAUGGGUUGUAGCUGGCUCGUCAGAGCAUGUGCACGCCUGUUUGGACUUCAUUUUCAUCCACCUGUGCACCUAUUGUAGUCUUUGGCUGGGUAUCAAGGAAGUGGUCAGCCUAUCAGCACUUGCUGGAUGUGAGGACUUGCAGUGUGAAAGCUUUGCUGUCCUUUACUUGAUCAUGGAGUUGUU
Molecule: unclassified non-coding RNA, 240 nt
Filed under: soil metagenome
Description: partial contains 5.8S ribosomal RNA, internal transcribed spacer 2, and large subunit ribosomal RNA
Source: RNAcentral